Hibiscus syriacus is the source of this 155-nucleotide long non-coding RNA. RefSeq lists it as uncharacterized. Lineage: Eukaryota; Viridiplantae; Streptophyta; Magnoliopsida; Malvales; Malvaceae. The record is from RefSeq and is a predicted model, not a curated record. The transcript has 3 exons.
AUCAGUGGAAGUAGGUAUGACAUGAUAAUUUGAUGGAUCCCCACCAGCCAGUGAGGAGGGUGAGUAACAUGAUGGAGAGAAGAAAAUGAAGGAUGAUGCCAUCUGUGAGUGGCCCUUAGAAGAAGUUCCUGCUCUGUGAUGGUAAUGAAGAAGAG